RNAcentral lists this ribosomal RNA (254 nucleotides) under uncultured bacterium. Its description in RNAcentral is "partial 16S ribosomal RNA". It matches the Rfam family "Bacterial small subunit ribosomal RNA", at positions 524 to 776 of the family's 1533-position model. The record is from RNAcentral.
UACAGAGGUCACAAGCGUUAUCCGGAUUUAUUGGGCGUAAAGCGUUUCGUAGGUGGGUUAUUUAGUUAUUCUUUAAAGACCACGGCUCAACCGGGGGAAGGGGAGUAAUACUGGUAGCCUUGAAAUAUGGUGGGGCAUCUGGAACUGAUGGUGUAGUAGUGAAAUACGUUGAUAUCAUCAGGAACUCCAAGGGCGAAGGCAGGAUGCUAAUCAUUUUUUGACACUGAGGAACGACAGCUAGGGGAGCGAAAGGG